AGAGUUUGAUCCUGGCUCAGGACGAACGCUGGCGGCGCGCCUAACACAUGCAAGUCGAACGAAGGAAGGGGGCUUGCCCCUGAACUUAGUGGCGGACGGGUGAGUAACACGUGAGCAACCUGCCCUAUAGAGGGGGAUAACGUUUGGAAACGAACGCUAAUACCGCAUAACGCGCUGGGGGGACAUCCCUUUGGCGCCAAAGGAGCAAUCCGCUAUAGGAUGGGCUCGCGUCCGAUUAGAUAGUUGGCGGGGUAACGGCCCACCAAGUCGACGAUCGGUAGCCGGACUGAGAGGUUGAACGGCCACAUUGGGACUGAGACACGGCCCAGACUCCUACGGGAGGCAGCAGUGGGGGAUAUUGCACAAUGGAGGGAACUCUGAUGCAGCGACGCCGCGUGAGGGAAGAAGGUUUUCGGAUUGUAAACCUCUGUCUUCGGUGACGAAACGAGACGGUAGCCGAGGAGGAAGCCACGGCUAACUACGUG
RNAcentral lists this ribosomal RNA (485 nucleotides) under uncultured Oscillospiraceae bacterium. RNAcentral's name for it is "bacterial SSU rRNA". It matches the Rfam family "Bacterial small subunit ribosomal RNA", at positions 8 to 507 of the family's 1533-position model. Lineage: Bacteria; Bacillati; Bacillota; Clostridia; Eubacteriales; Oscillospiraceae. The record is from RNAcentral.